This 301-nucleotide ribosomal RNA is filed under the name uncultured bacterium. RNAcentral's name for it is "partial 16S ribosomal RNA". It matches the Rfam family "Bacterial small subunit ribosomal RNA", at positions 509 to 809 of the family's 1533-position model. The record is from RNAcentral.
CAGUAGCCGCGGUAAUACGGAGGGUGCAAGCGUUAAUCGGAAUUACUGGGCGUAAAGCGUGCGUAGGCGGCUUUUUAAGUCGGAUGUGAAAUCCCUGAGCUUAACUUAGGAAUUGCAUUCGAUACUGGGAAGCUAGAGUAUGGGAGAGGAUGGUAGAAUUCCAGGUGUAGCGGUGAAAUGCGUAGAGAUCUGGAGGAAUACCGAUGGCGAAGGCAGCCAUCUGGCCUAAUACUGACGCUGAGGUACGAAAGCAUGGGGAGCAAACAGGAUUAGAUACCCCUGUAGUCCCUGUCUCUUAUAA